RNAcentral lists this ribosomal RNA (490 nucleotides) under uncultured bacterium. RNAcentral describes it as "partial 16S ribosomal RNA". It matches the Rfam family "Bacterial small subunit ribosomal RNA", at positions 29 to 505 of the family's 1533-position model. The record is from RNAcentral.
AGUGAACGCUGGCGGUAGGCCUAACACAUGCAAGUCGAACGGCAGCACAGUAAGAGCUUGCUCUUACGGGUGGCGAGUGGCGGACGGGUGAGGAAUACAUCGGAAUCUACUUUUUCGUGGGGGAUAACGUAGGGAAACUUACGCUAAUACCGCAUACGACCUACGGGUGAAAGCAGGGGAUCUUCGGACCUUGCGCGAUUGAAUGAGCCGAUGUCGGAUUAGCUAGUUGGCGGGGUAAAGGCCCACCAAGGCGACGAUCCGUAGCUGGUCUGAGAGGAUGAUCAGCCACACUGGAACUGAGACACGGUCCAGACUCCUACGGGAGGCAGCAGUGGGGAAUAUUGGACAAUGGGCGCAGGCCUGAUACAGCCAUACCGCGUGGGUGAAGAAGGCCUUCGGGUUGGAAAGCCCUUUUGUUGGGAAAGAAAAGCAGCAGGUUAAUACCCCGCUGUUCUGACGGUACCCAAAGAAUAAGCACCGGCUAACUUCG